Molecule: ribosomal RNA, 573 nt
Filed under: Trichoderma virens
Lineage: Eukaryota; Fungi; Ascomycota; Sordariomycetes; Hypocreales; Hypocreaceae
Description: eukaryotic LSU rRNA
Rfam family: 5.8S ribosomal RNA (bases 189-342)
Source: RNAcentral
ACACCAGCCCAUGUGAACGUUACCAAACUGUUGCCUCGGCGGGAUCUCUGCCCCGGGCGCCCCCUUUAAAAAGGGACCAAGGGGCCCGCCGGAGGACCAACCAACCCUUUUAAUGUAUACCCCCUCGCGGGUUUUUUACUAUCUGAGCCAUCUCGGCGCCCCUCGUGGGCGUUUCGAAAAUGAAUCAAAACUUUGAACAACGGAUCUCUUGGUUCUGGCAUCGAUGAAGAACGCAGCGAAAUGCGAUAAGUAAUGUGAAUUGCAGAAUUCAGUGAAUCAUCGAAUCUUUGAACGCACAUUGCGCCCGCCAGUAUUCUGGCGGGGAUGCCUGUCCGAGCGUCAUUUCAACCCUCGAACCCCUCCGGGGGGUCGGCGUUGGGGAUCGGCCCUUUACGGGGCCGGCCCCGAAAUACAGUGGCGGGCUCGCCGCAGCCUCUCCUGCGCAGUAGUUUGCACACUCGCAUCGGGAGCGCGGCGCGUCCACAGCCGUUAAACACCCCAAACUUCUGAAAUGUUGACCUCGGAUCAGGUAGGAAUACCCGCUGAACUUAAACAUAUCAAUAAGCGGAGGAA